AUGAGUGUGUUUCAGUUGCCCUACUCGGUUUGUUAUGAUAUAACUCCCCUGAUGUGACAAUAUUGGUGAGAUGUAGAGAAGGGGAAGAUAAAGAUGUCAUGAUUAAGUUGGGAUAAGAUGAUUUUACCAAAAUCAAAAGCAAGCUUGGGGUUUUGAGACAUGCGGUCUUUUAACCAAUCCCUCAUGGCAAAAAAAGUAUGGCAUCUUAUUGAUACCCCUAACAGUUUAUGUGCUCAUUUGUUGAAUGCGGAAUACUACCCUAAUGGUAGUUUGUUCGACAAUGUUUUCAUUGGCAAUUCUUUCGAAGUUUGGAAAUGUGUAGUAUAUGGUUUAGAGCUUUUGAAGAAUGGGAUCUGGAGGGUUGGGGAUGGUGCAGACAUCAAGACCUGGAAAGAUCCUUGGAUCCCUCGAGGGCCAUCUUUCCGCCCCAUUACCCCUAAGGGAAAUUGCCGGCUGAACCGAAUUUCGUAUUUCUUGCACAGUAAUGUGCACCAUAAGGCGGCACAAACAGAAAAAUGUUUUUGGCUGAUAGACAUGGUGCAAAUCUUGAAGAUUCGAACCUUCCCACGACAUCGUCGGUAUUUCACUGCCUGGCAGUCGAAAUGAAAUGGGAUGUUCUCUGUUAAGAGCGCCUAUGGGCUUGCUAUGAAUGAUCAUGAAGAAGCUUUUGCAUGCAACGCAACUAGUACUAAUCCUGAUGGUGAACGUCCAAUGUGGGAGUUGAUUUGGCAGACUGAAGUCCCACAAGAAAUGAAAAUAAUUGCGUGGAAGGCAGCAACUAGUGCCCUAACAACGACGUAA
This 801-nucleotide ribosomal RNA is filed under the name Triticum aestivum (bread wheat). Its description in RNAcentral is "partial small subunit ribosomal RNA". The record is from RNAcentral. Lineage: Eukaryota; Viridiplantae; Streptophyta; Magnoliopsida; Poales; Poaceae.